Molecule: long non-coding RNA, 247 nt
Organism: Carya illinoinensis
Lineage: Eukaryota; Viridiplantae; Streptophyta; Magnoliopsida; Fagales; Juglandaceae
Exons: 2
Source: RefSeq, a predicted model, not a curated record
UUCAAUAGUGUUUUGGGUUUUUCAGCAAGGACUUCUCAUAUUUGGAAGAGUAGAUUGAACCAAGAUAUCAAAAAAUAUAGAGCAAAAACAUAUCAGAAGCUGUCAAAGAUGGAAUCAAAGUUAAACCCAUAUAGAAAGAAUUCCACUUGUAAAUUCAUAUUCCAUUGUAACAUGUUGUAUGGUAUUUUGUAGAACUUAAAACAAUGAUAGUGGUGAAUUUUAAAUAUGUACUUUGAGGUUAUACAAA